UACGGAGGUGGCAAGCGUUGCUCGGAAUCACUGGGCGUAAAGGGCGCGUAGGCGGGGAGGUAAGUCGGGUGUGAAAUCCCUUGGCCCAACCGAGGAACUGCGCCCGAGACUGCUUCUCUUGAGUCCCGGAGAGGAAGGUGGAAUUCCCGGUGUAGCGGUGAAAUGUGUAGAGAUCGGGAGGAACACCGGUGGCGAAGGCGGCCUUCUGGACGGUGACUGACGCUGAGGCGCGAAGCGUGGGAGCAAACGGG
RNAcentral lists this ribosomal RNA (251 nucleotides) under uncultured bacterium. RNAcentral's name for it is "partial 16S ribosomal RNA". It matches the Rfam family "Bacterial small subunit ribosomal RNA", at positions 524 to 776 of the family's 1533-position model. The record is from RNAcentral.